AGAACGAACGCUGGCGGCAUGCCUAACACAUGCAAGUCGAACGAGAUCCUUCGGGGUCUAGUGGCGCACGGGUGCGUAACGCGUGGGAAUCUGCCCUUAGGUACGGAAUAACUCAGGGAAACUUGUGCUAAUACCGUAUGAUGUCUUCGGACCAAAGAUUUAUCGCCUAGGGAUGAGCCCGCGUAGGAUUAGCUAGUUGGUGGGGUAAAGGCCUACCAAGGCUACGAUCCUUAGCUGGUCUGAGAGGAUGAUCAGCCACACUGGGACUGAGACACGGCCCAGACUCCUACGGGAGGCAGCAGUGGGGAAUAUUGGACAAUGGGCGAAAGCCUGAUCCAGCAAUGCCGCGUGAGUGAAGAAGGCCUUCGGGUUGUAAAGCUCUUUUACCCGGAAGAUAAUGACUGUACCGGGAGAAUAAGCCCCGGCUAACUCCGCGCCAGCAGCCGC
Molecule: ribosomal RNA, 447 nt
Filed under: uncultured bacterium
Lineage: Bacteria
Description: SSU rRNA
Rfam family: Bacterial small subunit ribosomal RNA
Source: RNAcentral